Molecule: long non-coding RNA, 380 nt
Organism: Scylla paramamosain (green mud crab)
Lineage: Eukaryota; Metazoa; Arthropoda; Malacostraca; Decapoda; Portunidae
Exons: 3
Source: RefSeq, a predicted model, not a curated record
UAGGGCUGAAUUUGUUGCUUUUCAGAGAGGGGCAGUCGGUCUGUACAUGCGUGAGGUGGCGAGAGGCGUGUCCAGGGGGCGGCUAGUAGCGUGUGCCACCGUGGAAAUAUGUACAGACAUAAAGAAGACGCCCUCAAGAAAGGCCUGAGUCCAGACCGAGACCCAGAGAAAUGUAAACAAACGCACCAGUCAGACUUGAUAUAGGAGUGAAUUUGUUGCUUUUUAAAGCGGCAGUCGGUCUGUACAUGUGUGAGGUGGCGAGGGGUGUCGCCAGGGGGCGGCUAGUAGCGUCUGCCACCAGGGAAAUAUGUAAAAACAUAAAAAAGACGCUUCUCAAGAAAGAGAGGGGCAGUCGGUCUGUACAUGCGUGAGGUGGCGAU